GUUUUCAUGCAGAUACACACAGCACAGCUAGUUUCAAAAUUAAACCACAAUGAAAACUGUCACUACUGACAAGGAACUAUGCAAAGACCUUCGGUCUCAGGCCCUUGCUCACUCAGGAGUACCUUGAGACCUGUUUCUUCCUGUUCAGCUGCAGUCACGGUUCUAACCUGGUUCUUCUCACGGCUGGUAUCCUCUGACCUUUUAUGUCUUGGCAAUGACUUCCAUGCAUUUUGGCAGUGACUGCCUGAAUCUCUGAUUCAACCCUGAUCGCAGCCUCUCGGGCUUUCUCGCUCCUUUAAUUCUUUCCGCGGAUGGCCACGGCUUUUGCCGCCUGUACCCUUCCUGGAGCAACCCGUGCUUUUGAAAAAUGACCAUGCCGAAGGGGAACUAACACUCCCAGCCUGGUGCGGGUCUUGUCAAUCUGAUUUUUAAAUGAUGGAGGAGGAGGUUUGAGGACAAAGCUCAUGGUGGCAUUACCACUAUCAGGGACGCUGCAAAGAUCAAGUGAAAAGGGGAAAAGGCUCUUCUCAAUGUGAGCACAUUCACAGGCUCUGAGAACAGAGAGGUAUUUAAAGUGAACUGGAACAAACCUGCAACAUCCGGUGCGUUCUGCCUUCAAAAAUAGCUGCCAGUUAGAAAGGGUUAUUUACAUAUUGAUUUCAUGCUAACUUUGUAAUGGAAUGUGCUGCCUGCCUGCCUGCCUGAGACCUAACAACUGUCAUCAUAAUUUUUUCUAAAAAUACAGUCAGAGAAAAACACUCAUUGAACCCUCCACUGGAAAGUAGCUGCAAAAGACCCCCUGAUCCCAAACCUGCUUGACAGACCACAGCCAAGGGCAGGGACACUCAACAACUGUAAACGAGGAACAUUUCACAGCGGCAGCUGGCCCCUCUCUUCUUCCAACCAGCCAAUAUUUUUUGUCUUUCUAGAAAACCUGUCUUGUUCAAAGGCCUGAUGGAGCUGAUUCGGUUGUGAUCCUGGGCAUAUGGAUGGCAUAUUUGCUGCGAGCUAGGUGAGACGCGUCCCAGAAGGACCGCUGCCAGCCCCCGCAGCCGCCUUCUCCUGCUCCCGGGAGGCUGGGGCUGGCCGCGGAGCAGCGAAACCGGCCGGAUCCAGGGUAACUGCGGCCCACUUUGUUUUCAGCCGGCCCCCGCUGCUGCGGACAAAUCUUUCAUUCAUGAACAGGAGCUUGUUAGGCCAACUCCGGACUCUAAAGCCACUUAAUUAAAUUGUGGAAAGUC
Long non-coding RNA from Homo sapiens (human), 1241 nucleotides. Ensembl annotates it as long intergenic non-protein coding RNA 1685. The record is from Ensembl. NCBI's taxonomy places the organism in Eukaryota, Metazoa, Chordata, Mammalia, Primates, Hominidae.